GCUGGGUGUGGUGGCGCAUGCCUGUAAUCCCAGCUACUUGGGAGGCUGAGGCACGAGAAUCACUUGAACCUGGGAGGUGGAGGUUGCAGGGAGCCGAGAUCGCGCCACUGCACUCCAGCCCAGGUGACAGAGUGAGACUGUGCCUCAA
Molecule: signal recognition particle RNA, 148 nt
Filed under: Gorilla gorilla gorilla (western lowland gorilla)
Lineage: Eukaryota; Metazoa; Chordata; Mammalia; Primates; Hominidae
Description: Metazoan signal recognition particle RNA
Rfam family: Metazoan signal recognition particle RNA
About the family: The signal recognition particle (SRP) is a universally conserved ribonucleoprotein.
Source: Rfam by way of RNAcentral